RNAcentral lists this long non-coding RNA (250 nucleotides) under Lathyrus oleraceus (garden pea). RNAcentral's name for it is "Pisum sativum (pea) long non-coding RNA (PSAT_LNC016247)". Lineage: Eukaryota; Viridiplantae; Streptophyta; Magnoliopsida; Fabales; Fabaceae. The record is from RNAcentral.
CCAUACCUAUUUCUGAAGCAAAAUGGAAAAACAGUUGUUGUUUGGGUCCUUUUAGCCUGAAACAGAUGCACUAGAACUUCCCCAAUGAUGAAUGAUGAUGGUUGUUUUGCUUGAGAUGGCUUGUUCACUUGGAGUUUGAUUGACUGUUUUUGAAAAGUGCAAAAUGUGUUUUUUGAGUGAAUGAGAACCAAGGCUUUCUGGUUGAUUAUGUUGGCUGUUAUUGAUUUAGGAUGAUGCUUGAAUGGUGGAA